RNAcentral lists this long non-coding RNA (438 nucleotides) under Phaseolus vulgaris (common bean). RNAcentral's name for it is "long non-coding RNA (PVUL_LNC000847)". Lineage: Eukaryota; Viridiplantae; Streptophyta; Magnoliopsida; Fabales; Fabaceae. The record is from RNAcentral.
UGAAUGGAAUGUAUAGUAUUGUGCUUGAACUUGGGCAAAUCCCAUAAUGUCAAUGACGUCAAAGCGGGAAACGUAAGAAUAAGAUUUGUUUCUUUUGGAUGAGCUGGAUUAGUCUCUGUAACAAUUUCAGCAGGAUCUUCAUUCCAAACACUUUCCAGAUUUGGCAGCUUCCAUAAAACUAAUGUUUUCAGAGGAGAAGUCACUGUGUUUUGUGGACAUUGGACGUCAAAUAUGGUUUUGAGAGAAUCACAGUUUCGAACUUCGAAGGUUUCCAAUUGAGGUAAUGAAGGAAGCAAAGUGAAGGGGAGUGCAUAUGAUGAAAAGUGACACCCAUCCACAAUCAAGGUUUCCAAGUAACUGAAGCAUAAGUCUGGGAUCUGCACUGAGACACGCCAUAUCUCUUGGAGGUCUGCCCUAUCUCUCAAUUCAAGACUCCGU